This 369-nucleotide ribosomal RNA is filed under the name uncultured bacterium. RNAcentral describes it as "bacterial SSU rRNA". It matches the Rfam family "Bacterial small subunit ribosomal RNA", at positions 29 to 409 of the family's 1533-position model. The record is from RNAcentral.
AACGAACGCUGGCGGCAGGCCUAACACAUGCAAGUCGAACGCCGUAGCAAUACGGAGUGGCAGACGGGUGAGUAACGCGUGGGAACAUACCCCUCGGUUCGGAAUAACUCAGGGAAACUUGAGCUAAUAACCGGAUACGUCCGAGGUUUUAAUCGGCCUUGGAGAAAGAUUUAUCGCCGGAGGAUUGGCCCGCGUCUGAUUAGCUUGUUGGUGAGGUAAUGGCUCACCAAGGCGACGAUCAGAGCUGGUCUGAGAGGAUGAUCAGCCACAUUGGGGACUGAGACACGGCCCAAAACUCCUACGGGAGGCAGCAGUGGGGAAUAUUGGACAAUGGGCGAAAGCCUGAUCCAGCCAUGCCGCGUGAGUGAU